CAACUCUGAAAGACGCUCGAGCGCUCGCAGCGUACACAAAUUCGCUGCCUAGAGGGCGCGUUCUGGUUUGUCGCGUCGCGUCGCUCGUUUACUGUAAAUGUAAAUGGAGGAAUUGGAUCCGAAACUCUCACUCCUCUCCCCCUGACUCACCGACAAACAAAGUGGGACGCUUGAAUUUGUUAUACCACACCACGGAGACGUUUGCACUGCUUUUUAUACACCGCCGCGUCACAAGUAAAUCUCGCGUUUCGCGGAGCUGGAAAAUAUGUGUAUAACUAAUAACUACUGACAGCGGUGAAAACCAUUGCACUCACGAAUGUCAUGCACUGAUCAAGAGCCUUUGCCUUCUGUGACUUUCAGCGGACUUAAUAACAACCAACAUGAAGCAGUCAGGUACAGUCAGAGCGCGUUGCCUAUUCUAAAGGACUUUUAAACUUGUUGAAAUCAUUGUAAACAUGGAAGAGGCAGGCGCUGGGAACGGUGCUGGGACGCAGGGCUGUGAACUGGAGCGUUCUGGAGACGGAGGACUGGAUGAGGUGCAGAUGCAUCUCGCCUGCUUACCGGAGCGAUACAUGAGAGCCAAGUUUUCCCUCUCCGCGUACAUAUUUUGUUGGACAGUAGUAAAGUUGUGUCAGGCCCCAGCUUUAGAGGACUCUGGGAGUGAGGCAGCUUGUCUGGAUGAUGGGGAGUCUCAGCAGGAGGAGCAAGGAGAGCAACAGGACCAUCAGGAAUGGUGUGAGCCGGUUCCUGAAGCAGCACAGGACACAAAAGAGGAAUAUUUUGACACACACUCAUGGCCCAGUGACACUUUCUCUGAAUCGAGUCAUGAAACUAAGGACUGCUGCAGGACACCGCUCAGCUAUGAGGUUGGAUCUUGCUCUAUGGGUCAUCUGGACACACACUCUCCAUUUGUCAAACCGUCACCUUUGGUUAGAGGGAGAAAUCCCUCUUCAACAAAACAGCAUCAUUCUGUCAAUCAUGCUGACAGUCUCUGUAGAACAGUGGAUAGAGAGCAAUUGCAAAUACAGACUGGAAAUAUGGGGGUGAUGCACAUGGGAGUUGAUGGCACUGGAAUGUCUCAAGCUAAGGGUGCUCUGGAAUGUGAGGAGGUUUUCAACAAUUCUCCAGCGGAACCUGAAGUUGAUUCUUCUUCAAGGAAUGGCCAAUCCUAUGUAGUAGCACCUCUACUGGCAUUAGAGAACUCUGUGGAACCGCAAACACUCACUGAGCCAUGUGCUAAUGACUCAUUAUUGACCUUAACAGACAGUGAUGGAGCCAAGUUUCAGUUUGCUGACACCUUUGAGGGAAAAUCAAAAUGGGAUCAAAUUAACAAAAAUAUCACGAACACUCAGUCAGGACACAAUGAGCCGCAAAUACAGUUCAUAACCUCAAGUGAGAAACAGUUACAGCAAAAUGAUAUUGACAGUAGUAACACUGAAAUACAGUUGAUUUCUAAUGCAUCUGUUGCGAAUAGUAAAGAUGCUGAAUGUCAUGAGUUGGGUGUUGAUGAAAAUAAGAUCAGUUUAUCUGUAUCACGUCAUCUUUUUGUAUAUGAGUCUGUAUCAGUUGAGAAGCCUAUUGAACAGAAGGUCGAGGAGUCAACAAAACACAGCCAUUCACAGCCCUCAGUAGAGCACAGCCAAUCACAGUCUUCAGUAGAGCACAGCAAAUCACAGGCCUCAGCAGAACAUAACCAAUCACAGGAUUCUGUAGAAUGCAGCCAAUCACAUAACUCAGCAGAACACAGCAAAUUACAAGACUCAGCAGAACACAGCCAAUCACAGGCCUUAACAGAAGACAGGCCAUCACAAGAUUUUGUUGAACACAGCCGAUCACAGGACUCAGUAGAACACAGCCGAUCACAGGACUCAGUAGAACACAGCCAAUCACCGGAUUCUGUAGAACACAGUCAGUCACAGGAUUCUGUAGAAUGCAGCCAAUCACAGAAUUCAGU
This 1954-nucleotide long non-coding RNA is filed under the name Sinocyclocheilus grahami. RNAcentral's name for it is "lncRNA (ENSSGRG00000014415.1)". The record is from RNAcentral. Lineage: Eukaryota; Metazoa; Chordata; Actinopteri; Cypriniformes; Cyprinidae.